RNAcentral lists this ribosomal RNA (253 nucleotides) under uncultured bacterium. Its description in RNAcentral is "partial 16S ribosomal RNA". It matches the Rfam family "Bacterial small subunit ribosomal RNA", at positions 524 to 776 of the family's 1533-position model. The record is from RNAcentral.
GACGGAGGGUGCUAGCGUUGUUCGGAAUGACUGGGCGUAAAGGGCGCGUAGGCGGCCGCUUGCGUCGGAUGUGAAAGCCCGGGGCUCAACCCCGGAACGGCAUCCGAUACGGGGCGGCUCGAGACCGAGAGAGGUGAGUGGAAUACCCAGUGUAGAGGUGAAAUUCGCAGAUAUUGGGUGGAACACCGGUGGCGAAAGCGGCUCACUGGCUCGGUUCUGACGCUGAGGCGCGAAAGCGUGGGGAGCAAACAGG